This 1228-nucleotide ribosomal RNA is filed under the name Staphylococcus pseudintermedius. RNAcentral describes it as "partial 23S ribosomal RNA". It matches the Rfam family "Bacterial large subunit ribosomal RNA", at positions 1570 to 2799 of the family's 2925-position model. Lineage: Bacteria; Bacillati; Bacillota; Bacilli; Caryophanales; Staphylococcaceae. The record is from RNAcentral.
GAGAGGAACUUGUUCCUCGAGUCGUUGAUUUCACACUGCCGAGAAAAGCCUCUAGCUAGAAUAACGGUGCCCGUACCGCAAACCGACACAGGUAGUCAAGAUGAGAAUUCUAAGGUGAGCGAGCGAACUCUCGUUAAGGAACUCGGCAAAAUGACCCCGUAACUUCGGGAGAAGGGGUGCUCUUUGAGGUUCACGCUUCGAAGAGCCGCAGUGAAUAGGCCCAAGCGACUGUUUAUCAAAAACACAGGUCUCUGCUAAACCGUAAGGUGACGUAUAGGGGCUGACGCCUGCCCGGUGCUGGAAGGUUAAGAGGAGUGGUUAGCGCAAGCGAAGCUACGAAUCGAAGCCCCAGUAAACGGCGGCCGUAACUAUAACGGUCCUAAGGUAGCGAAAUUCCUUGUCGGGUAAGUUCCGACCCGCACGAAAGGCGUAACGAUUUGGGCACUGUCUCAACGAGAGACUCGGUGAAAUCAUAGUACCGGUGAAGAUGCCGGUUACCCGCGACAGGACGGAAAGACCCCGUGGAGCUUUACUGUAGCCUGAUAUUGAAAUUCGGUACAGUUUGUACAGGAUAGGUAGGAGCCUUAGAAGCGUGAGCGCUAGCUUACGUGGAGGCAUUGGUGGGAUACUACCCUAAUUGUAUUGGAUUUCUAACCCGCAGCACUUAUCGUGCUGGGAGACAGUGUCAGGCGGGCAGUUUGACUGGGGCGGUCGCCUCCUAAAGAGUAACGGAGGCGCUCAAAGGUUCCCUCAGAAUGGUUGGAAAUCAUUCAUAGAGUGUAAAGGCAUAAGGGAGCUUGACUGCGAGACCUACAAGUCGAGCAGGGUCGAAAGACGGACUUAGUGAUCCGGUGGUUCCGCAUGGAAGGGCCAUCGCUCAACGGAUAAAAGCUACCCCGGGGAUAACAGGCUUAUCUCCCCCAAGAGUUCACAUCGACGGGGAGGUUUGGCACCUCGAUGUCGGCUCAUCGCAUCCUGGGGCUGUAGUCGGUCCCAAGGGUUGGGCUGUUCGCCCAUUAAAGCGGUACGCGAGCUGGGUUCAGAACGUCGUGAGACAGUUCGGUCCCUAUCCGUCGUGGGCGUAGGAAAUUUGAGAGGAGCUGUCCUUAGUACGAGAGGACCGGGAUGGACAUACCUCUGGUGUACCAGUUGUCGUGCCAACGGCAUAGCUGGGUAGCUAUGUAUGGACGGGAUAAGUGCUGAAAGCAUCUAAGCAUGAAGCCCCCCU